AAUAAGUUAAAGAAAAGCAUGGAAAGGAAGAGAAUAGGUUAAUUAUUUAUACAAUUUAAUCAAAUGUCAAUGUAGCAGCUUUUAUAGCAGCUACCUGUGUGUUAGGCUCAAACUUCAUGCUUCCAAAUCCUCUUCAAUCUGAUAAGCAUAGUCUUCUAUAUUUAAGACACAAAGCAUCCUACUCCAUUGCCAAGAAAUCCAUGACUCUUGCCAAUAUCUUUCUAUGGUGAACCUUCUAGAAAAAUAAAAUCUAGUAAAUUCUGUGCCUUAUUUGCUACACAACUAUAUUUAACAUUUUCUCAGGGACAAGAUAGUAUCCAAGAUGAUGACUGAGCAAAGAUAACUAUUAUACAUGGUAGUGCUGUGUGCUAGAGUGGGUUUUGAAUAUGAUGGCACAGUUGACUUUAGCUCUAUUAAAGUUGAAAAAAGUCAAUAUUUACCAUGUCUAAAAGAACUCUCCUAAAUUUAAAAAGCUGAAUAUCCAAUGAAAUAGGAUAACCAAUAUGAACAUGUUUUAAUAACUAGUAAAACUCGCUGACCAAAGGAUUCUUUCAAAUUAAUAAAUACACUAAGAUCCCCAACAGGGUGAACGUGAAGAAAAGAACAUAGAUAAUCUGUUCACAGAAUAGGUAAACACAAAUAAAUAACCAAUAAAUGUAGAGAAGGAUGCUUUGCCUAUACAAACAAUUCCAUACAUAAAAAUUUACGCAAUUACAAGAUCUACCAGGUUUCAUGGUUUGCCCAGGAAAUUAGGUGAAAAGUAACAGGGGCCUACUCUAAACUCUAAAAAAAAGUGUGUUGAGACAGGCAUGCCCCUAUGCUAACAACAUACACUGACACAUUUUUCUGGAAAGAAAUUUGAAAAUGUAUGUCAACUGACUUAUAAAAUAUGGAUGUCAUUAAUCCAAUGUUUCUAUUUACAGAUACAACUUCUACAGAAAUAAACAGAGCAAUUUACCCUUAUUCUUUUUCAACCCAUAAGAGGAUCUGUGUAUUCUACAUUCUUCAAGACCUGGAAGCUUAUCUAUACAUAUAGAUAAGAUCUCAUAAAGCGUAAGGCGGUGUAACCUAAGGUGCUGGAGGAAGGAAUCAGUAGAUGCCUUAGAAUGGCCCCUUUCAUCCUGAUCACAAGGCGUGGGACAUUAACAUGGACCUAUGCUCUUCUCCAGCAGCUGGACCCAGGGUAACUUCUGAGAAAUGCUGACCUCUGCACUGACUUUAUGCAGAGAUGAAAGAAAUGUGUGUGUGUCUUAAAAGCAGUGAUUAAAGAUUUGUCGGACUUUC
Neofelis nebulosa (Clouded leopard) is the source of this 1284-nucleotide long non-coding RNA. RefSeq lists it as uncharacterized. The transcript is spliced from 3 exons. NCBI's taxonomy places the organism in Eukaryota, Metazoa, Chordata, Mammalia, Carnivora, Felidae. The record is from RefSeq and is a predicted model, not a curated record.